Molecule: ribosomal RNA, 382 nt
Filed under: uncultured bacterium
Lineage: Bacteria
Description: bacterial SSU rRNA
Rfam family: Bacterial small subunit ribosomal RNA
Source: RNAcentral
AUUGAACGCUGGCGGCGUGGCUAAGACAUGCAAGUCGAACGGGGUGCGUAGCAAUACGCAUCCAGUGGCGGACGGGUGAGUAAUGAAUCGCUAACGUACCCUCCCGUCUGGGAUAGCCGAGGGAAACUUCGGGUAAUACCAGAUGAAAUCCCCUUUUCGCAUGACGAGGGGCUCAAAGGAGCAAUCCGCGGGUGGCGCGGGCGAUUUCGUAUCAGCUAGUUGGUGGGGUAACCGGCCCACCAAGGCGACGACGCGUAGCCGGACUGAGAGGUUGGCCGGCCACAUUGGGACUGAGACACUGCCCAGACUCCGUACGGGGGCGUGCAGUAACGAAUCUUCCGCAAUNCACGCAAGUGUGACGGAGCGACGCCGCGUGUGGGAC